Pristis pectinata (smalltooth sawfish) is the source of this 1121-nucleotide long non-coding RNA. RefSeq lists it as uncharacterized. The record is from RefSeq and is a predicted model, not a curated record. The transcript has 3 exons. NCBI's taxonomy places the organism in Eukaryota, Metazoa, Chordata, Chondrichthyes, Rhinopristiformes, Pristidae.
UGCAGUUACCUGCUGCACAUACGUUGGAUUAAAAAGCACAAUUGAUUUUCUUCUCGUGCCAAACAUUCAACCACUUUACCUUAAACAGCAUUCUUCUGGGAGCUGCCUCUAGCCUCCAUGGCCAUUAAAUGAUCUCAGGCCUCAAAUGCACUCAUCAUUUACAAUUCAAACAUUCCACAUGAAUGUAUACCAUGGGCAUGUUUAAUACCAAAAGUAUCAGCUCAUUCCUUUCCUUAUAAUUCCAAAGAGCUUCCAGAAUCCCACAGCAUGGAAAAUUGCUUGUUACUUGUGUAUGACUGGAGGCUUUGUGUGGGAUUUUCACACAGGCAAUUUUUGUUUACCAGCAAGGUACAAUGAGAUAGGAGAGUAUUAGGUUAUCAAACUGACGUCAAUCAGUUCCCUGGGUAUAUAUUCUGCCCUUUUUACAUCCUUUGACUAGAAAAUCCACAUCAAGGUAAACACUGGAAAUCUUUUAAAUACUCGUUGGUUUGGAGCACUGGCGUUGAAGCAUGCAACUUCCACCAUUUAAAACAAUCCAAGCCAGAUCUCAUCACGUAAACCAUGAUUGCACAAAGUACUGAUGCAGGGUGUUGAUCCAAAACGUUAACAAUUCCUUCUCCCCAGCCCUACGGAUGCUACCCUACCCACUCAGUUCCUCCAGUAGAUUGCAUAUUGCUCCAGAUUCCAGUGUCUGCAGUCUCUUGUGCCGACACAAAGUACAAACUGCACGGCAAACUCAGCCCUCACACAGCAGAUGCUGCCUGACCUGCUGAAUUUUUCCAUUCGUUUUUACUUUGAUCUGCCACACGUUGCUCGAGAUGAGGAAGCAGAGUGUUUGCUUUACCAUCUGAAGAGGAAUUGGAUAAAUAUUCAAGAGGACAAACCACACAGGCUCUUCUCCAUUUAAAUGAAGAGUUGCCUAACAUGUGGCAGGUCUCACCAGGCCUGCCAGCAUAACGCUGGGAAAUUGGAGAAUGCUGUCACUUUGCUACUGGAUUCUGCACGUCACCCAACAGCAGGUAACUAUCAGGCAUCGGCAGCAAAUGGCUGUCAGAAAGUUGCAGACUUGUGUUCACAUCCCAAACUUGGUGGCAGGUGGAGGUUGGACUUUUCAGCCAAGA